UAGAGUUUGAUCCUGGCUCAGAUUGAACGCUGGCGGCAGGCUUAACACAUGCAAGUCGAACGGUAACAUAAAGAAGCUUGCUUCUUUGAUGACGAGUGGCGGACGGGUGAGUAAUGCUUGGGAAUCUAGCUUAUGGAGGGGGAUAACUACGGGAAACUGUAGCUAAUACCGCGUAAUAUCGAAAGAUUAAAGUGUGGGACCUUCGGGCCACAUGCCAUAGGAUGAGCCCAAGUGGGAUUAGGUAGUUGGUGAGGUAAAGGCUCACCAAGCCGACGAUCUCUAGCUGGUUUGAGAGGAUGACCAGCCACACUGGGAUUGAGACACGGCCCAGACUCCUUCGGGAGGCAGCAGUGGGGAAUAUUGCGCAAUGGGGGCAACCCUGACGCAGCCAUGCCGCGUGAAUGAAGAAGGCCUUCGGGUUGUAAAGUUUUUUCGGUAGCGAGGAAGGCAUUUAGUUUAAUAGACUAGGUGAUUUGACGUUAACUACAGAAGAAGCACCGGCUAACUCCGUGCCAGCAGCCGCGGUAAUACGGAGGGUGCGAGCGUUAAUCGGAAUAACUGGGCGUAAAGGGCACGCAGGCGGUGACUUAAGUGAGGUGUGAAAGCCCCGGGCUUAACCUGGGAAUUGCAUUUCAUACUGGGUCGCUAGAGUACUUUAGGGAGGGGUAGAAUUCCACGUGUAGCGGUGAAAUGCGUAGAGAUGUGGAGGAAUACCGAAGGCGAAGGCAGCCCCUUGGGAAUGUACUGACGCUCAUGUGCGAAAGCGUGGGGAGCAAACAGGAUUAGAUACCCUGGUAGUCCACGCUGU
RNAcentral lists this ribosomal RNA (808 nucleotides) under uncultured bacterium. Its description in RNAcentral is "bacterial SSU rRNA". It matches the Rfam family "Bacterial small subunit ribosomal RNA", at positions 1 to 803 of the family's 1533-position model. The record is from RNAcentral.